CGGUCUUCUCCCUCACGGGAACACUUUUUUCUAAGGUUGACCUCGGAUCAGUAGAAUACCCAGCC
RNAcentral lists this ribosomal RNA (65 nucleotides) under Fonsecaea monophora. RNAcentral describes it as "partial 28S ribosomal RNA". Lineage: Eukaryota; Fungi; Ascomycota; Eurotiomycetes; Chaetothyriales; Herpotrichiellaceae. The record is from RNAcentral.